GGAUACUUCUUGCAAGUCGUCGAUAGUUCCUGGCGACCAAGGAGCUUGUGGAGAAUCUCUAGCAGCUGUAGGCGAGUGACUGAGAGGUGGCACGGACACUUCUCGCAAGUCGUCGAUAGUUCCUGGCGAGUGGCUUUGAGGUGGCACAGACGCUUCCCGCAAGUCGUCUAUAGUUCCUGGCGACCAAGGAGCUUGUGGAGAAUCUCUAGCAGCUGUAGGCGAGUGACUGAGAGGUGGCACGGACACUUCUCGCAAGUCGUCGAUAGUUCCUGGCGAGUGGCUUUGAGGUGGCACAGACGCUUCCCGCAAGUCGUCAAAAGUUCUUGGUGACGAAGGAGCUUGUGGAGAUUCGCUAGCAUCUGUAGGCGAGUGACCUUGAGGUGGCAGCGAUGAUUCUGGCAGGCCGCGA
Molecule: long non-coding RNA, 409 nt
Filed under: Selaginella moellendorffii
Lineage: Eukaryota; Viridiplantae; Streptophyta; Lycopodiopsida; Selaginellales; Selaginellaceae
Description: long non-coding RNA (SMOE_LNC002325)
Source: RNAcentral